Molecule: ribosomal RNA, 456 nt
Filed under: Coryphella verrucosa
Lineage: Eukaryota; Metazoa; Mollusca; Gastropoda; Nudibranchia; Coryphellidae
Description: 12S ribosomal RNA
Source: RNAcentral
CAAACUCUAGUAAUAAACCAGGAUUAGAUACCCUGUUAUACAGAGCCAAAAUCCAAAGCUUAAGCACUAAGACUUUACAGUUAAAACUUAAAUGACAUGGCGGCAGCUUCAAAUUUCAGGGGAACUUACCAGAUAAUUGAUAAUCCGCAAGAUACCCUACUUCACCUAAAAGUAUGUAUAUCGCCGUCUUCAGAGCCCAUCUUAGACGGGCUCAAAAUGUUAAACUACAACAAAAAGACAGGUCAAGAUGCAGCCUAUGGAGAAGUCUGUAAGGUGAGUUACAAUGAUUUGUAAUCUUAGAUUUAGCUUGAAAAUAGUUAAGAAAACCGGACUUGAAAGUAAAUUUAAUUAUAAAUAAAAAUUGAAUUUCAAAAAAGCUGUGCACAAAUCGCCCGUCACUCUCGUUGAAAAAGGAGAUAAGUCGUAACACAGUAAGAGUACCGGAAGGUGCUCUUG